GACAGAGGGUGCAAACGUUGUUCGGAAUUACUGGGCGUAAAGAGCUCGUAGGCGGUUUGUCGCGUCUGCUGUGAAAACUGGAGGCUCAACCUCCAGCCUGCAGUGGGUACGGGCAGACUAGAGUGCGGUAGGGGAGAUUGGAAUUCCUGGUGUAGCGGUGGAAUGCGCAGAUAUCAGGAGGAACACCGAUGGCGAAGGCAGAUCUCUGGGCCGUAACUGACGCUGAGGAGCGAAAGCGUGGGGAGCGAACAGG
RNAcentral lists this ribosomal RNA (253 nucleotides) under uncultured bacterium. RNAcentral's name for it is "partial 16S ribosomal RNA". It matches the Rfam family "Bacterial small subunit ribosomal RNA", at positions 524 to 776 of the family's 1533-position model. The record is from RNAcentral.